GCUCAGGACGAACGCUGGCGGCGCGCCUAGCACAUGCAAGUCGAACGAGAGAGAGGGAGCUUGCUUCCUCAAUCGAGUGGCGAACGGGUGAGUAACGCGUGAGGAACCUGCCUCAAAGAGGGGGACAACAGUUGGAAACGACUGCUAAUACCGCAUAAGCCCACAGGUCGGCAUCGACCAGAGGGAAAAGGAGCAAUCCGCUUUGAGAUGGCCUCGCGUCCGAUUAGCUAGUUGGUGAGGUAACGGCCCACCAAGGCAACGAUCGGUAGCCGGACUGAGAGGUUGAACGGCCACAUUGGGACUGAGACACGGCCCAGACUCCUACGGGAGGCAGCAGUA
This 339-nucleotide ribosomal RNA is filed under the name uncultured bacterium. Its description in RNAcentral is "bacterial SSU rRNA". It matches the Rfam family "Bacterial small subunit ribosomal RNA", at positions 22 to 356 of the family's 1533-position model. The record is from RNAcentral.